AUCUCUAUAACUCAAUGGGAGUAUAUAAUAUUCUGAAUAUUAUAAUAAAUGUUCGAUUCAUUGUAGAGGCC
RNAcentral lists this transfer RNA (71 nucleotides) under Corniculantispora saksenae. RNAcentral describes it as "Lecanicillium saksenae tRNA-Gln". The record is from RNAcentral. Lineage: Eukaryota; Fungi; Ascomycota; Sordariomycetes; Hypocreales; Cordycipitaceae.